This 396-nucleotide ribosomal RNA is filed under the name uncultured bacterium. RNAcentral's name for it is "partial 16S ribosomal RNA". It matches the Rfam family "Bacterial small subunit ribosomal RNA", at positions 523 to 918 of the family's 1533-position model. The record is from RNAcentral.
AUACGUAGGGGGCAAGCGUUAUCCGGAUUUACUGGGUGUAAAGGGAGCGUAGACGGCAAAGCAAGUCUGAAGUGAAAGCCCCGGGCUCAACCCGGGACUUGCUUUGGAAACUGUUUAGCUGGAGUGCAGGAGAGGUAAGCGGAAUUCCUAGUGUAGCGGUGAAAUGCGUAGAUAUUAGGAGGAACACCGGCGGCGAAGGCGGCUUACUGGACUGUAACUGACGUUGAGGCUCGAAAGCGUGGGGAGCAAACAGGAUUAGAUACCCUGGUAGUCCACGCCGUAAACGAUGAUUACUAGGUGUUGGUCGUCAUAGACAAUCGGUGCCGCAGCAAACGCAAUAAGUAAUCCACCUGGGGAGUACGUUCGCGAGAAUGAAACUCAAAUGAAUUGGCGGGG